CUGUAAGUGAGUCAAUAUUCAGUCUAUUUAUAUGUGCACCAUAUUCAGACGUGGAUGUAGGCAUGUUUUAGCUUUGAACCAACAAGGAUGUGUUGGUUGUAUUAUGUGCAGAUGCAGGCUCGUUAAAAUGUCGUUAAAUCGAAAAAAAUGUUGUUUUCGGGUUGAUAGUUGUUGUAGAAUUUAAGAUUGUUGAAUAGCUCGUGAACUUCAUACGUUGUUCCUCAACUAUCUGACACUUGUAAAAGAAACGGCGGAAGUCGUCUGCUACGCGACUCACUGUGUCAACUAACACCUAUAUAUUUAACUGGGUCAUGCAACCACAGUACUGAACCGUAAUAAAAGACCAAGGAAACUGGUGGUAGUCAUUGAAAAUUCAUGGUAUGCUGCACAAAUGUGUCAAAGGCAAUUAUCCGGACUGACACUGCUGUUCACCGACGAUUGAAGACGCAGUGGAGAGCAAGAAAAAGAGUCACCGACACCCUUGAAAGCUCCAAGCAUCUUAUUUAGUCGAAGUGGCAGCACGUGGUUCGAUUUUAGUAUAGAGCUACCAAUACCACGAGCGCCAGUGUCCCUUUUGGCCUUCGCCUCUUCUUCAUGCGUCAUCACUUGCAAUGGGGAAUUAUUCUAGUCUUGCGCAAUGUUACGAUGCAAAAGACAUGACACAGCUUUAGAAAUCAACAAAUAAAGUUGCUUUGUUAUUUCA
Daphnia magna is the source of this 703-nucleotide long non-coding RNA. RefSeq lists it as uncharacterized. Lineage: Eukaryota; Metazoa; Arthropoda; Branchiopoda; Diplostraca; Daphniidae. The record is from RefSeq and is a predicted model, not a curated record. The transcript is spliced from 2 exons.